AACGCACGAGACCUGCGGACCUGCGGAGGGAUCAUUACUGAGUUUCACAACUCUCUAACCCUGUGUGAACUGAAGUCUGGUUGCUCAGGCAGGCGGCCCCCGGGGGGAGCCGCAGCUUCUCUGAAGCGCCUGCCGGAGGAUACCUAAACUCGUUUUAACAUAUAAUCUUCUGAGUAAUAAAAAAAAAAUGAAUCAAAACUUUCAACAACGGAUCUCU
RNAcentral lists this unclassified non-coding RNA (217 nucleotides) under soil metagenome. RNAcentral's name for it is "partial contains 5.8S ribosomal RNA, internal transcribed spacer 2, and large subunit ribosomal RNA". The record is from RNAcentral.